RNAcentral lists this transfer RNA (74 nucleotides) under Podarcis lilfordi (Lilford's wall lizard). It matches the Rfam family "tRNA". From Rfam's summary of the family: Transfer RNA (tRNA) molecules are approximately 80 nucleotides in length. Their secondary structure includes four short double-helical elements and three loops (D, anti-codon, and T loops). Lineage: Eukaryota; Metazoa; Chordata; Lepidosauria; Squamata; Lacertidae. The record is from Rfam by way of RNAcentral.
GCCCCAGUGGCACAAUGGGUCAGUGCAUCUGGCUGUUAACCAGAAGGUUGGUUGUUCAAACCCACCCAGGGGCA